This 253-nucleotide ribosomal RNA is filed under the name uncultured bacterium. RNAcentral's name for it is "partial 16S ribosomal RNA". It matches the Rfam family "Bacterial small subunit ribosomal RNA", at positions 524 to 776 of the family's 1533-position model. The record is from RNAcentral.
UACAGAGGGUGCAAACGUUGUUCGGAAUUACUGGGCGUAAAGCGUGCGCAGGCGGUUUUGCAAGACAGAUGUGAAAUCCCCGGGCUUAACCUGGGAACUGCAUUUGUGACUGCAUGGCUGGAGUGCGGCAGAGGGGGAUGGAAUUCCGCGUGUAGCAGUGAAAUGCGUAGAUAUGCGGAGGAACACCGAUGGCGAAGGCAGUCCCCUGGGCCUGCACUGACGCUCAUGCACGAAAGCGUGGGGAGCAAACAGG